AGCCCUAAGAAAUCAAUAUUUAGGGUGAGACCUGCCCAGUGAUGAUUUAAAUGGCCGCGGUACUUUGACCGUGCUAAGGUAGCAUAAUCAAUUGACUUUUGAAUGAAGUCUGGAAUGAAAGGGGACACGGAAUUAAGCUAUCUGAUACUUUUAAUUAGAAUUUACUAACUAAGUGAAAAGGCUUAGAUAAGAUAAAAGACGAGAAGACCCUAAGAGUUUAAAAAUUUUGUUGGGGCGACAUAGGGUCAAAAAGCUUAACACCCUAAAAUAUAUUUGACGGAUUUUUCAUGAUUAGAAAAACUACCUUAGGGAUAACAGCAUAAUUUUUUAAAGUUUGUGACCUCGAUGUUGGACUAGGAAGCUUUUAGGCUAGCUGCUUAAAUAGGGGAUUCUGUUCGAAUUUUUAUUCCU
Molecule: ribosomal RNA, 411 nt
Filed under: Vellicolla tortuosa
Lineage: Eukaryota; Metazoa; Mollusca; Gastropoda; Cephalaspidea; Haminoeidae
Description: partial 16S large subunit ribosomal RNA
Rfam family: Archaeal large subunit ribosomal RNA
Source: RNAcentral